This 913-nucleotide ribosomal RNA is filed under the name uncultured bacterium. RNAcentral describes it as "bacterial SSU rRNA". It matches the Rfam family "Bacterial small subunit ribosomal RNA", at positions 8 to 916 of the family's 1533-position model. The record is from RNAcentral.
AGAGUUUGAUCCUGGCUCAGGAUGAACGCUAGCGAUAGGCUUAACACAUGCAAGUCGAGGGGCAUCACGAGGUAGCAAUACUUUGGUGGCGACCGGCGUACGGGUGCGUAACACGUAUGCAACCUUUCCUGUAAGUGUGGGAUAGCCUCCUGAAAGGGAGAUUAAUACCUCAUGAUAUGUAUUUGCUGCAUGGCAUUUACAUUAAACAUUUAUGGCUUACAGAUGGGCAUGCGUUCCAUUAGGCAGUUGGUGUGGUAACGGCUCACCAAACCUACGAUGGAUAGGGGUUCUGAGGGGAAGGUCCCCCACACUGGAACUGAGACACGGUCCAGACUCCUACGGGAGGCAGCAGUGAGGAAUAUUGGUCAAUGGGCGCGAGCCUGAACCAGCCACGUCGCGUGAAGGAUGACGGCCUUAUGGGUUGUAAACUUCUUUUACAGGGGAAUAAAGUGAGUCACGUGUGAUUUUUUGCAUGUACCCUGUGAAUAAGCAUCGGCUAACUCCGUGCCAGCAGCCGCGGUAAUACGGAGGAUUCGAGCGUUAUCCGGAUUUAUUGGGUUUAAAGGGUGCGUAGGCGGGUUUGUAAGUCAGUGGUGAAAGUUUCCGGCUUAACCGGGAGAAUGCCGUUGAGACUGCAAAUCUUGAGUGCAAGCGAGGUAAGUGGAAUGUGUUGUGUAGCGGUGAAAUGCAUAGAUAUAACACAGAACACCGAUUGCGAAGGCAGCUUACUAGUAUGUAACUGACGCUGAGGCACGAAAGCGUGGGGAGCAAACAGGAUUAGAUACCCUGGUAGUCCACGCAGUAAACGAUGAAUACUAGCUGUAUGCGAUAGACAGUAUGCGGCGGAGCGAAAGCAUUAAGUAUUCCACCUGGGGAGUACGUCGGCAACGAUGAAACUCAAAGGAAUUGACGG